Long non-coding RNA from Nannospalax galili (Upper Galilee mountains blind mole rat), 2493 nucleotides. RefSeq lists it as uncharacterized. The record is from RefSeq and is a predicted model, not a curated record. The transcript has 3 exons. Lineage: Eukaryota; Metazoa; Chordata; Mammalia; Rodentia; Spalacidae.
CCUGCCAAGGUCAUUGGUCUCCCCAAGCUGGACUCCAGCUAACACAGUCCAGCCUGUGCUUAAGCUGGAAGAAGUCCAUGGUCUGGAAUAUACAGCCUCUCAGAGCCGAUGUGCAGUCGUGGUCUCUGCUCAUUACACUGAGGAUGUCUGCUCUAGGAGUCUCUGGGCGCUGUGAAGAUGAGUGGGGAAGGCUACCACGGGGACAGCUGGAGAGACUGGGGAACUGAAGACGAGGGGUGAAGGAAGGGAAGAGAGAGAGGGGUGCCAGAGGGACCGCAGCUGCUGAGAUUUCCUAAGCAGCCUUCAGGACGCCCCCACCCCCUGGAACUGGGUGAUCCUCUGUCUGGCAUUUCUUUACUGAAUGGGGUAGACAGGAAGAAACCAGGACCCCAGACACAUGACAGAGAAAUGACCAUAUGAAGAAAGGAGACAGGUGGACCAGCCCCCGCUGACACUCCAGUACUGCACCUCACUAAAGCAGGAGCUGCAGAAGAAACACAGACCCUUCCAAGGACAUGAACUGUACUCUCAGCCAAUCCGCGUCCUGUCUCGUUCAGUCAGGGCCUUGGAUGGUCCUACGCACCACUGUGUGUGAAUUUACAUAAUUGGAGCUGUGUUAGAUCAAUCUCAGAAAAGGGCAAGAUCGAAGGCCAAGCCAGAGGUGAGGUCUGAGCUCCAGCCAAAGGGCAUCAGCUGUCUAGACAAAUCAAGAUCCUGAAGGAACAGGAAGAGGCCGACUCCAGCAGGCUUUCCACAAAAUGGUAAUUAGCAAAUUGUAUCAAAAGGUAUCAAAGUGUUUCAAAAAACUCUAAAAAUAGCCAGCUUGGUAGAUCCAUAGUCAGAGUGUCCUUGCAUUCCACAGGCUCCUCCUGGGGCCAGGGGUCCCCCCAGCAGAGCUGCCGUUGCAGGGCUGAGACCCCAGGCUCAAGACGAUUCUAGAACCCAAAGCCUCUGAGCUGGGCUUGGGCCAGCAGCCGAGUGCCACACCAUGGGGGCCAGGGUAAGGAAGGUUGGUGACUCUGUAAGGGGUGGUGGGGGCGGCAGGCACCCUUCUUGUCUAGCAUGCCUAGAAGUGACCUGCCACAGAUCACUAGAAGGAACCUCUUGGCUUGGGGUCAAGACACCUACUUAGACACAGGUCAGUAUAUCUGAAAUCUCAGAGCAGAGUGCUGGGCCCCGGAGAGGAGGGGCUUUUGUUCCUUUGGAGGCCCAGAAGAUGCCUGGGCGUUAGCUGCUGGGCCCCACCUAUGCCGGUCUGCCCAGAACAAGGAGUCCAAGCCCCACCUGGGGGGGCUUACAGAAAUGGUGGUGUCCCCACCUAUCAAAGCGUGCCGGACGAUCACACAUAUUUUCUUCUGGAGGAAGGCUGUCUCGCUGUCUUACCCAGGUUAGCUGGGAACUCCCUGGUUUAAGAGAUCCACUGGUAGCCAAAGCCUACCCAGGGACUGGGACUAUAGUCUGGGUCCCAGCAGCUGGCUGAUCUAUGUGCAUGUCAAACAACAGGAAGACCUGUGAACAAACAUCCCCGCGGCUCCCUGGUGGCCCCCCUUCUGUUGUACAAACAGGGCUCCAACCCAGGUGAGGGGCAAAAGCAAAGAUCUACAAGGAGUGUCAGUUAAAACUCUGCUGUUUUAUAUUUUAUUCAUUAUUUUUAUUUUAUGUGUAUGUGUGUAUUGCCUGCAUGUAGGUAAGUGCACCCAUGUUGUGCAAGGCCCGCAGAGGACAGAAAGGCCAUCGGAUCCCCUGGAACUGGAAUUAGAGACAAAAACUCUAUUCUUCAUAAACAAGAAGCACAACCAGAGUCCAAGCCUACCACUGACUCAAACAGAGGCUCAGGGUCAGAGGGAGCUCUGACUUGGCUGCCACAGCGUAGAAUUCUCACCUUAAGUCACAGGUAACAGAACACGGCCCAGAUGCACUGCGGAGCUCAAAACCCUUUCUGGACACAGGGCAGUUGCCACCACCUGUGUGACGCUUACAUUCUAGCCCACCCUUUCAAGGAAGGCUCUCAGCCCCUACAAUACUAGAUUCCAAGCCUGUAAGUUACAAAGCACAUUAACAAUGCCAGGAGAGAUCACAACACAUUAGGUGCGGGCUAUUGUAUUUAACCCACAAGCCACCAAGUGGAGUAGAAGUCGCGCGCCUCCACACAUCUGGGGCAAGUACCGGCCGAGAGCUAUGGGAAGGGCCAGCUUAGGCUCAGAUUGGUGGCUGUCCUCAGCCCAGGGUCAGCACCAUCCUGUUCUGUAAGCCACACACAGCCUUUCUGUGUGCUUUCCCCAACUUGCCCAAUUCUCCCUGAAGCACCUCCUGGCUGUUCAAGACCUGCAGAGGACAGGCCGCACCUAACGCUUUGCCUAUGGAAGGGCCUUUGUCUUAGUUAGUUUCUCCAUUGCUGUGACAAAACACUCUGACCAAUACCAACUUGGGAAGGAAAGGGUUUGUCUUACAUCUCCUGGGUCACAGUUCAUCUGGGAGCCCAAGGUAGGAACU